Molecule: non-coding RNA, 72 nt
Organism: Ameiurus melas (black bullhead)
Lineage: Eukaryota; Metazoa; Chordata; Actinopteri; Siluriformes; Ictaluridae
Source: the annotation of a GenBank genome assembly
GCCUCGUUGGUCUAGGGGGUUGAUUCUCCCUUAGGGUGUGGGAGAGGUCCCGGGUUCAACCCGGAUGAGCCC